AGUGAACGCUGGCGGUAGGCCUAACACAUGCAAGUCGAACGGCAGCACAGUAAGAGCUUGCUCUUACGGGUGGCGAGUGGCGGACGUGUGAGGAAUACAUCGGAAUCUACUUUUUCGUGGGGGAUAACGUAGGGAAACUUACGCUAAUACCGCAUACGACCUACGGGUGAAAGCAGUGGAUCUUCUUACCUUGCGCGAUUGAAUGAGCCGAUUUCGGAUUAGCUAGUUGGCGGGGUAAAGGCCCACCAAGGCGACGAUCCGUAGCUUGUCUGAGAGGAUGAGCAGCCACACUGGAACUGAGACACGGACCAGACAACUACGGGAGGCAGCAGUGGGGAAUAUUGGACAAUGGGCGAAAGAAUGAUACAGCAAGACCGAGUGGGUGAAGAAGGACUUCGGGUUGUAAAGCCCUUUUGUUGGGAAAGAAAAGAAGCAGGUGAAUAACCCGCUGUUCUGACGGUACCAAAAGAAUAAGCACCGGCUAACUUCGUG
RNAcentral lists this ribosomal RNA (492 nucleotides) under uncultured bacterium. RNAcentral describes it as "partial 16S ribosomal RNA". It matches the Rfam family "Bacterial small subunit ribosomal RNA", at positions 29 to 507 of the family's 1533-position model. The record is from RNAcentral.